This 66-nucleotide transfer RNA is filed under the name Rivellia syngenesiae. Its description in RNAcentral is "tRNA-Phe". It matches the Rfam family "tRNA". From Rfam's summary of the family: Transfer RNA (tRNA) molecules are approximately 80 nucleotides in length. Their secondary structure includes four short double-helical elements and three loops (D, anti-codon, and T loops). Lineage: Eukaryota; Metazoa; Arthropoda; Insecta; Diptera; Platystomatidae. The record is from RNAcentral.
ACUUAAAUAGCUUAAAGUUAGAGUAUAACACUGAAGAUGUUAGGGUAAUCAUAUGAUUUUUAAGUA